Molecule: long non-coding RNA, 318 nt
Filed under: Arabidopsis lyrata
Lineage: Eukaryota; Viridiplantae; Streptophyta; Magnoliopsida; Brassicales; Brassicaceae
Description: long non-coding RNA (ALYR_LNC000069)
Source: RNAcentral
CCAGCACCAGAACCAAGUUCGUUUAGAUCUCCACCGCCAUUGAAGAGAAAUGGAUUACCCAAAACUGAACCGAAUGGGAAGAGAUUUGGCUGCAUCUCUCAUCUCUUCUUUAUACCAGUAAGAUCAAUAAUUGAUCCAUCCAAUUUUCCAAAGGAGUAAUCGAUUUCACGAUCGGAGAAAAUGUCUGUGUUUUUUUUUUUUUUUCGGCGAGUCACAAAUCGGAUCGGGAAGAGAUCUAGAAGAAGGAGACUUUUGUUGAGUCUUUUGAUUUGUUUCGACAAUGGUGUGUGUUUGAUUAAAGCCACUUCUUCUUUUUAC